AGUGAACGCUGGCGGUAGGCCUAACACAUGCAAGUCGAACGGCAGCACAGUAAGAGCUUGCUCUUACGGGUGGCGAGUGGCGGACGGGUGAGGAAUACAUCGGAAUCUACUUUUUCGUGGGGGAUAACGUAGGGAAACUUACGCUAAUACCGCAUACGACCUACGGGUGAAAGCAGGGGAUCUUCGGACCUUGCGCGAUUGAAUGAGCCGAUGUCGGAUUAGCUAGUUGGCGGGGUAAAGGCCCACCAAGGCGACGAUCCGUAGCUGGUCUGAGAGGAUGAUCAGCCACACUGGAACUGAGACACGGUCCAGACUCCUACGGGAGGCAGCAGUGGUGAAUAUUGGACAAUGGGCGCAAGCCUGAUCCAGCCAUACCGCGUGGGUGAAGAAGGCCUUCGGGUUGUAAAGCCCUUUUGUUGGGAAAGAAAAGCAGCAGGUUAAUACCCCGCUGUUCUGACGGUACCCGAAGAAUAAGCACCGGCUAACUUCGUG
This 492-nucleotide ribosomal RNA is filed under the name uncultured bacterium. Its description in RNAcentral is "partial 16S ribosomal RNA". It matches the Rfam family "Bacterial small subunit ribosomal RNA", at positions 29 to 507 of the family's 1533-position model. The record is from RNAcentral.